CAGUAGCCACGGUAAUACGAAGGGGGCUAGCGUUGCUCAGAAUUACUGGGCGUAAAGGGAGCGUAGGCGGAUGUUUAAGUCAGAGGUGAAAGCCCAGGGCUCAACCUUGGAACUGCCUUUGAUACUGGACAUCUUGAGUGUGGGAGAGGUAAGCGGAACUCCGAGUGUAGAGGUGAAAUUCGUAGAUAUUCAGAAGAACACCAGUGGCGAAGGCGGCUUACUGGCCCAUUACUGACGCUGAGGCUCGAAGGCGUGGGGAGCGAACAGGAUUAGAUACCCCGGUAGUCCCUGUCUCUUAUAC
RNAcentral lists this ribosomal RNA (301 nucleotides) under uncultured bacterium. RNAcentral describes it as "partial 16S ribosomal RNA". It matches the Rfam family "Bacterial small subunit ribosomal RNA", at positions 509 to 807 of the family's 1533-position model. The record is from RNAcentral.